AUUGAACGCUGGCGGCAGGCCUAACACAUGCAAGUCGAACGAGUGGCGGACGGGUGAGUAAUGUCUGGGAAACUGCCUGAUGGAGGGGGAUAACUACUGGAAACGGUAGCUAAUACCGCAUACCAUCAGAUGUGCCCAGAUGGGAUUAGCUAGUUGGUGGGGUAACGGCUCACCAAGGCGACGAUCCCUAGCUGGUCUGAUAGGAUGACCAGCCACACUGGAAAUGAGACACGGUCCAGACUCCUACGGGAGGAAGCGGUGGGGAAUAUUGCAAAAUGGGCGCAAUCCUGAUGCAGCCAUGCGGCGUGUAUGAAGAAGGCCUUCGGGUUGUAAAGUACUUUCAGCGGGGAGGCGUUACCCGCAGAAGAAGCACCGGCUAACUCCGUGCCAGCAGCCGCGGUAAUUC
Molecule: ribosomal RNA, 406 nt
Filed under: uncultured bacterium
Lineage: Bacteria
Description: partial 16S ribosomal RNA
Rfam family: Bacterial small subunit ribosomal RNA
Source: RNAcentral